Long non-coding RNA from Sebastes umbrosus (honeycomb rockfish), 398 nucleotides. RefSeq lists it as uncharacterized. NCBI's taxonomy places the organism in Eukaryota, Metazoa, Chordata, Actinopteri, Perciformes, Sebastidae. The record is from RefSeq and is a predicted model, not a curated record. The transcript has 4 exons.
UCUUUGGAGACAACCUGUAGACCCAAGUAUUGUGACUCAGGGAGGACCAAUCGUGGAUGGACGCUGCUGGCCAUUUGAUGGUGAGCGUGGACAUUUAGUCAUAGCCCUGUCCCACCCAGUGACCAUCAGCCAUGUGACACUGGGUCACAUUUCAAAGACCGUGUCGCUAACUGGCAGCAUCUCGAGCAGCCCAAAGAUGUUUGCUGUCUAUGGCAUGAAGACUAAAGAGGAUGAAGGUACCCUACUAGGAACCUUUCUUUAUGAUCAGGACGGCGAGUCAUUGCAGACUUUCAAACUGUCUGAUCAGGAAGCAGGUGUCUUCAGCCAUGUGAAGCUGCAAGUCGAGAGCAACUGGGGAAAUCCUGACUACACUUGCGUGUACAAUUUCAGGGUCUAUG